AACAAGGCGUACCUGCGGACCUGCGGAGGGAUCAUUACCGAGUUUACAACUCCCAAACCCAUGUGAACAUACCUAUCGUUGCUUCGGCGGAUCGCCCCGGGCGCCUUGCGUGCCCCGGAUCCAGGCGGCCGCCGGGGGACCUUAACUCUUGUUUUUACUGAGAAUCUUCUGAGUCGUUUUUACAAAUAAAUAAAAACUUUCAACAACGGAUCU
Molecule: unclassified non-coding RNA, 213 nt
Filed under: soil metagenome
Description: partial contains 5.8S ribosomal RNA, internal transcribed spacer 2, and large subunit ribosomal RNA
Source: RNAcentral